Molecule: long non-coding RNA, 1160 nt
Filed under: Mus musculus (house mouse)
Lineage: Eukaryota; Metazoa; Chordata; Mammalia; Rodentia; Muridae
Description: RNA imprinted and accumulated in nucleus
Rfam family: Small nucleolar RNA SNORD113/SNORD114 family (bases 1-73)
Source: RNAcentral
GGGCCAAUGAUGACGAGGUUUCGGGAUUAUAAGUCACGGACGAUGACUACGUCACUAGAGGUCUGAGGUCCAUAGCAGAAGAUGCCUCAUGUGACCCUCUCAUGCAGGGGUUGCAUGUCAGGCAUGUGCAUACAGUAGAUAUUAGCCAUGCACUCUCACCAUUUCAUAGUAGAUCACAGAAUCAAGAUACAAAUCUCCAUGCACGGAAAGGAUUUAAGGCAUUGAUCAAUCCUGAACAUAAAUAUUUGGCCAUCAAUGAUAUUUACGCACACACUGAAAAAUCUAUUCAGAAUGACUUACACAAAGGUUUAUAUAACCUUUAUCAAAGGUAAUUUAUAUAGUAAGAUUCAUGGCUGAAGUCUUCAUGAUGGUCAAGGCCUUAAUUUUUAAAAUUAUCAAUUUUUUUCUUUUCUUUUUUUUUAACUUGAAUUUUUUUUUAAUGAAAACUAUCAUGACAAUUUGUCUCUUAAAUGAAAGGAGAAAUGUAAAACUAAAUGGACAAAUAUCAACCUUUUUAUUAUCUUUGCUGUUGUGCCCUCCCUGGAUGGGUGCUGGCACAUGAUGUCUUGCCUGCUGGUCCGUGGUUGCACUCUCACCAUGUGGAUGGAGCUCGGCAGCUGAAAAUGCAUUCUUCCACCAAGAUGAUUUACACAGCCUAGCUGGAUCAGGAGCCCCCUAAUAAGCUGCUUCAGAUUGUAAUAUAGACACAGUAAUGUAUGCCUGCAGGAUGAGUCCCACCUUCUUCAUUAGUCUUGAGGUUUGAGAUUCCCUGUUUGUGUCUGCAGGAUUCAGAUAAAUGGAUAUCCUGCAAGUCGGCUUCGUAGAGUCUCCCUUGAAAGUGGACCUCAUGAUCUAGCCUUUAUGUCCGUGGAUUGACACUGUGAUGGAUUCCCCCCAAGUUCAUUUAGAUAUUCUCUCUUAUUCAUAAAUGUCACGGUCAGCUCUGUUCUUAUAGAUACCAGAAUGGAUACCCCUAAGCUGAUGUAUAUACACCCUUCCUCGGUUGUGAGAUUCCUGCUCUGGUGGUUGUAGUCAUAAGAUAUACAUCGUUGCGUACACCUUGGUUGUGGGCACGCACACUACUGUUGAAUUACCACCUUGUCCAAGUGGAUGGAUGCCCUCAAUGGGAUUGGCACUUUCUCCAUUGCUCCUGCACUCUG